Molecule: ribosomal RNA, 425 nt
Filed under: uncultured bacterium
Lineage: Bacteria
Description: bacterial SSU rRNA
Rfam family: Bacterial small subunit ribosomal RNA
Source: RNAcentral
GAAUAUUGGACAAUGGGCGAAAGCCUGAUCCAGCAACGCCGCGUGGGGGAUGAAGGCCUUCGGGUUGUAAACUCCUGUCAGGUGGGACGAAAAAGCUUCGGUUAAUACCCGGAGUCUCUGACGGUACCACCAGAGGAAGCCCCGGCUAACUCCGUGCCAGCAGCCGCGGUAAUACGGAGGGGGCGAGCGUUAUUCGGAAUUAUUGGGCGUAAAGGGCGCGUAGGCGGCCUGAUAUGUCAGGGGUGAAAUCCCUCGGCUCAACCGAGGAAUUGCCCUUGAAACUGUCAGGCUUGAGGCCGGGAGAGGGUAGUGGAAUUCCGAGUGUAGCGGUGAAAUGCGUAGAUAUUCGGAGGAACACCAGUGGCGAAGGCGGCUACCUGGACCGGUUCUGACGCUGAGGCGCGAAAGCGUGGGGAGCAAACAGG